Molecule: ribosomal RNA, 440 nt
Filed under: uncultured bacterium
Lineage: Bacteria
Description: partial 16S ribosomal RNA
Rfam family: Bacterial small subunit ribosomal RNA
Source: RNAcentral
CCUACGGGUGGCAGCAGUGGGGAAUAUUGCACAAUGGGGGAAACUCUGAUGCAGCGAUGCCGCGUGAGUGAAGAAGUAUUUCGGUAUGUAAAGCUCGAUCAGUAGGGAAGAAAAUGACGGUACAUGAUUAAGAAGCACCGGCUAACUACGUGCCAGCAGCAGCGGUAAUAAGUAGGGGGCAAGCGUUAUCCGGAUUUACUGGGUGUAAAGGGAGCGUAGACGGCAGCACAAGUCUGGAGUGAAAUGCCGGGGCUUAACACCGGAACUGCUUUUGAAACUGUGCAGCUAGAGAGCAGGAGAGGUAAGUGGAAUGCCUGGUGUAGCGGUGAAAUGCUUAGAGAUUAGGAAGAACACCAGUGGCGAAGGCAGCUUACUAGACUAUAACUGACGUUGAGGCUCGAAAGCGUGGGGAGCAAACAGGAUUAGAUACCCUUGUAGUC